Molecule: ribosomal RNA, 360 nt
Filed under: uncultured compost bacterium
Lineage: Bacteria
Description: bacterial SSU rRNA
Rfam family: Bacterial small subunit ribosomal RNA
Source: RNAcentral
GCGCGUAAAGCGCGCGCAGGCGGUUUCUUAAGUCUGAUGUGAAAGCCCACGGCUCAACCGUGGAGGGUCAUUGGAAACUGGGGAACUUGAGUGCAGAAGAGGAGAGUGGAAUUCCAUGUGUAGCGGUGAAAUGCGUAGAGAUAUGGAGGAACACCAGUGGCGAAGGCGACUCUCUGGUCUGCAACUGACGCUGAGGCGCGAAAGCGUGGGGAGCAAACAGGAUUAGAUACCCUGGUAGUCCACGCUGUAAACGAUGAGUGCUAGGUGUCGGGGGGUCCAACCCUCGGUGCCGGCGCAAACGCAUUAAGCACUCCGCCUGGGGAGUACGGUCGCAAGACUGAAACUCAAAGGAAUUGACGG